Molecule: long non-coding RNA, 2756 nt
Organism: Salvia miltiorrhiza (redroot sage)
Lineage: Eukaryota; Viridiplantae; Streptophyta; Magnoliopsida; Lamiales; Lamiaceae
Exons: 2
Source: RefSeq, a predicted model, not a curated record
CGGAGUUAUUAUUUUAGCUUUAUACUUUUAUAACGUAUAAGAAAAACGCGACGAGGAUUAUUGAGCCAUUCAAUAAUUUAUUAUCCAGUUUGAUAACUGACUUAGCAAAGUCAAGUUAUUAAUUUAUAUGCGAUAGAAAUAGUAUUUCUAUUAUUUACUUGAAGUCGUGAUUAAUUUUCGACUUAUAAAACGAAUUAUAAAAUAUGUAAUUCGUAGAGAGUUAUAACGAAGCGUCGUUAUUUAGUAGAACCCAAUAUUAGUUUUACAAAUACUUGUAACUUCAAUACUUUACAAAUCAUUAUUUUUCCACUCCCUAAUGUUUCCUACACUAUAUACGCAUCCACUCCACCAAAUUACAUCAUACCUACCUCCCCACCACUACUUUACUUUUCCCCCACCACAUUAGUGCACCACCAUCUCCACUACCUAUGCUCCCCACCAACUUCAAAAAAAAAAAAAAACUUCACCCAUUCCUUCCAUUUCGCACCAGCAAUCACAAAGAGAAGGAAGACUUGGCUUAACUAUUUUGCCAAGAUUUCAAGCUGCUCCAGUCCAGUAGUACCCCAACACUCCGGCAGUGUUUUGCAAGGCGAUUUCAGCAAUCCCAACGGUUCCCAAAAAUUCUCAAAUUAAUUGUGUAUCAUCUUUCAUAUGUUUUCUAUACUUUGGUAAAAUUUCAGAAGGUUUGAAGCUCUUAUGAUUUAUUUAUGAAUUUGUAAACAUCACUGCCCAUCUGGAAUACAUUUUUGGUAAACAAUCUUUGGGAGGCCAUAAGUAAAGUUUCAAUCGGUGAAAACCUUUGAAACUUGAAUAUGUCACUCUAGACUCCCGUAUCUUUCUUUUGAAAUCGGCCUCACCAUUUUUGAGUAAGGGAAACAACCGGUAUAAAUUCUUGAAAUCUAGUUCUUAUUCCUUGUACCAUCCAGUAGAUUUUACAAACCUACGACUUUGAGGUGGCAAAUACCGACUUAAAUCUUUGAUUCUCAAGCCUAUCUUUCUACUGAAUAUUCACUGACAUGUUGGGAACUUACUUGUUCAGUUUUAGAAUUUUUGGUGAAGCCUAAAGUGGUUUUUCCGAUUUAUGUUCUGAAUCUGCCAAACUUGAACUCUUUUUGUGCACUGAACUUUAGAUAGUCAUAUCUUCUAAACCAUGAAUGUUCUUAGAGUAAAUCCAACUGGAGAGUGUUAUGAUCUCUCCCUAGUUUCCAGAUUGACCCUUGGGGUUCCCAGUGGAGUUUUGUAAAGGGAGAUAUGAAUUUUUAAAGAAAGCCCACUGACUUGGUUGUAAUCUGGAAAUCUGAAAUUUUCAGAUUUUUGCUAGUUAAAUACCCAUCUUUGAGAGGGCAUAUCUUGCUCGUUUGAAUUGUUUUUCAUUCGAUUCAAAUUGGAGAAUGAUCCUUGAAAUGUCUAGUUUCCAGAAUGUCUUUUGGAGCCUCAUUUGGAGAUCCGAGGCAGAUUUGGUGUCUGUUGCAAAACAACCUCUUAAGAGCUCAAGUUGUUGAAUUAUUUUCUAUGUAUCAAAGUUUAUUUUAAAGGAUGUUUCAUGAAAGAUUUAGUAUAUGUGCGUAACAAGUUUGGGACUAUUUAUUUUAAAUGAGGUCCGUUCUUUAUUUAAAUUAUGAUGGACUUUUAAUGAAUAUUUUUGGGAUUAAACUCUUAUUUCUUGAUUUAUAUAAAUUAUUUUUUUAAGGACUUAUAAAUAUGAAUUUCGUAGGCCUACUGACCUACUGUGAUCGACGGUUUGUCGAUGUCUAAUAGCUUUGAAAAUUUUAUAGCAAGUCCCGACAUGAGUCUUGAGUACCCUGGUAAAAUUUCAAGCCAUUCCAACUUCGUUUGAUACUUCUUUAAAAUGCAAAACCUAAACUGCACAUUACUACCGAGAAUUUCAGAGAACAGAUGAAAGAGUCAUUUAUUUCAGUAGCUUCCUGUGUGAUCUAGCUUUCCAAAUUUUUAUGGUAUUCACCUUAUUGUGUUAGCUAGAUAUCCACCAAAGUUGAGCCCAGUUUGACAACGUUUACUAUUUUUAAAAAAUCCAAGUUUUCGAUUGUUCAAAACUGCCGAACAUGGUAGAUCGUGGUAAAAACGUCAUAUCUCUCAAACCACUUGGAGUUUUCGACUCUACUUUUUUUUAUAUGAAACUAGAUUCGAAGAUCUUUCUUUCAGUAUGAGUCUCGAGUCCAGGAGAUGUCGGAGUCAGAACAGAUUAAAUUUUGAAGUUGAGUCAGUGUAAAAACAGAGCAUGUUUUAAUGAUGUUUUUGGACUUCGGACUUUAAAGCGAACUAUUAUCAUUUAUUUCUUUAAAGCCACUGGUUUAUUUAAUUAAUUGGCUACUCUCUUUUGAGCCUAUUAAUUAUUUGAGGUUACGCUAGUAAUGAUGUAACGAAUUAUGGAUGCUAGAACCCUAAAACACUAAAAGAUACCCUAGGCACGUAGAAUUAGACUUUGUCUUAUGACAAUUACUUCACGAACUUAUCGACUCUUCAUCAAUGAAGGUCCGGGCGACAGAAAGUGAAGCCGAAGAAGAAACGACUCCACGCUAGCUUUAAGAACAAUUGAGGUUGAGUUGUGAUGGGCGAUGAAGUGUUGCUGAGUGGAGUUUUUGUUGAACUUAAAGUAGGCUCAGAAAGGAUACAUGUCUUCAUACAUGUAUCUCAGUUAUGCUUUCCGCUGUAAACACUGAUUUUUUUAGUUACACCUUCCGUUGCAAACUCUGAUAAUGUUUUAGCCAAGCCCCUAACGAUGCCUUUUUCCUUUU